CUCCAGGAGCUCUGUGGAUGUUGCUAGAGUCCAGAGAAGGGUUUCCUUCACCUUCUCUCCCUCUCUCUCUAGAAGUUUUCUCUCUCUACAUUGAAAUCAAUGAUUUAGCUCGAUUUCGUCGCCUCGCUUGUUCUUUGCUGCUGGCGAGUGUCGCUGAGCCUUUGUGGACGUGUGAGAGGGUAUUUUAGAAGGUUUUUCGCAGCACCAAACCAGUGAGUUGCUGGUUGGAAGCUUGAAAAGGUUUGCGAAUCACAUUAAACUCUUUUGGUGACCUGGGAGGCUGGUUUGGAAGGUGUUCCAACUACAGCGAGCUUGCAACGGACUUUCGGAGUAUCUCCGGCUGAUGUGUAAAGGCUUUUAGAAGCUUAAUUUGAGCAGCGUCGAGACUCCGUUGAGCAGGGUUCGGGACUCCUUUUGGCUGGAUUGAGCUUGGUGAUAGGUGGGUCGGACUUUCCCGAAAUGGGUGAAUUUCCCUCUAUGUUUCCUUUGACAUAUGAGUUGAAGCUAUUACGUAUUCUUGUGAAUAUAUGUAUAGUUCAUGGCAUUAAGACACGCAUUCAUGUGUAGAUCAUAUUGGAUAUGAUCGCAUUCCUAACAGUACUGGAAAACUCAUGAUUAGUUCCCUCCACAUGGUUAUCUGUUGGAUUACUAUAUAUUCGUGAUAUUCGUAGCUCGCAUAAAUAAUUGGACUGGUUGUCAUUCAAGUAGAUAUGAUGGUAAAAUCGUGAAGGUACCAUUUAGCUCAGCUGAGCAAUAAAAGGGAACGAUGUACCUAGAAUUGGACUAUGCCAAUUGAUAUGAUUAGUAUCUUGGUUAAACUCUGAAUACAUCACGUAAAGGUAAUUAUUUGAGUAUGCUCAUAUCAUGGUAACAUCGUGAAUGGCAUAGAGAUCAUGUGAAGAGUGUUCCGUCGUUUAUUUUCCUUACUUGUAUUGACCUGUUAAUUCCUACUUUCACAUGAUAGAUUUGUUUGAAAUUCAUGUUACGAUAUAUGAUCUAGUUAAACAACUAGAAUUGAGCAUGAAAGCAUAACUCGAAUGUUA
Molecule: long non-coding RNA, 1043 nt
Organism: Ananas comosus (pineapple)
Lineage: Eukaryota; Viridiplantae; Streptophyta; Magnoliopsida; Poales; Bromeliaceae
Exons: 4
Source: RefSeq, a predicted model, not a curated record